AGAUAAUAGAUACCCCGGUAGUCCACGCCCUAAACCGAUGCAUAUUUGGUGUGGGCAGUUCAUUCUGUCCGUGCCGGAGCUAACGCGUUAAAUAUGCCGCCUGGGGAGUACAGUCGCAAGGCUGAAACUCAAAGGAAUUGACGGGGGCCCGGCACAAGCGGUGGAGCAUGUGGUUCAAUUCGACGCAACGCGAAGAACCUUACCUGGGCUCGAACGGCUGGUCAACGGAGGUGGAAACAUCUUUACCCCGCAAGGGGGUCCAGUCGAGGUGCUGCAUGGCUGUCGUCAGCUCGUGUCGUGAGAUGUUGGGUUAAGUCCCGCAACGAGCGCAACCCUUGUCCUGUGUUGCCAUCAUUUAGUUGGGAACUCGCAGGAGACCGCCAGCGAUAAGCUGGAGGAAGGUGGGGAUGACGUCAAGUCCUCAUGGCCUUUAUGUCCAGGGCUACACACGUGCUACAAUGGGCGGUAC
RNAcentral lists this ribosomal RNA (469 nucleotides) under uncultured bacterium. RNAcentral describes it as "bacterial SSU rRNA". It matches the Rfam family "Bacterial small subunit ribosomal RNA", at positions 775 to 1240 of the family's 1533-position model. The record is from RNAcentral.